CAACUUUUAACAACGGAUCUCUUGGUUCUCGCAUCGAUGAAGAACGUAGCAAAGUGCGAUAACUAGUGUGAAUUGCAUAUUCAGUGAAUCAUCGAGUCUUUGAACGCAACUUGCGCUCAAUGGUAUUCCAUUGAGCACGCCUGUUUCAGUAU
This 152-nucleotide ribosomal RNA is filed under the name Mucor circinelloides. RNAcentral's name for it is "5.8S ribosomal RNA". It matches the Rfam family "5.8S ribosomal RNA". From Rfam's summary of the family: 5.8S ribosomal RNA (5.8S rRNA) is a component of the large subunit of the eukaryotic ribosome. It is transcribed by RNA polymerase I as part of the 45S precursor that also contains 18S and 28S rRNA. Lineage: Eukaryota; Fungi; Mucoromycota; Mucoromycetes; Mucorales; Mucoraceae. The record is from RNAcentral.